AUAACACGUUACAAAAGUUGAGAUGUCCUAGUCAAAAUGUACAUCCAGAACCUUCCCCUUUUUGAUUAAAAAAAAUAAAUUUCCAUAACAGCUGUUAUUUUGCGUACCCUAUUCCCCGUCAACUUCUUUGCCGCCUCAUUCGGUUAUAACUCAUCUUACCGUUAAAUAUCUUAUCUUAAAUCAAUCUCAACCGUCCGAUCCUUCAAAAUUAUCAAUAAAUAAUGACCUCCGCUUUUUCUUUAUGCAUACCAAUUCCUUCCGAGGUUAGCCUCAAUCUUUCUCCAGAUCUCGUCUAGCUGGUUUUUCUUCUUCAAUUUUCGUGUUCAGAUCUCUGUAGAUCGGAGCACGAUCUACGUUUUGAGUAUGGAUUUGCUGUGCUUCUGUGAAGGCUUGGUGGUUGGCCAGCUGAACGGUGCAGCGGUUCGAUGUCCGUUGAAAGAGGUGCUGGUUGAUUAAGAGAUGGUAGAUCUGGUGAUUCUGGGCCUGGUUUGAUGGAGAUGAGGCUAACCGAAGGUGUUGAAUUCGUGAGGAUUCGGCUGUUUGUUUGCAGGAGCGCUUUACUUAUCUGAAUGGAGCCGAGUUGCACGGAUUGUUCAAUUGAUGUCUCGUUGUCAUUGAGCGUCAGAUCUGUGAAGUCUUCAGAGAUUAGAUUCAUGGAGGUUGGCGUUAGAUCUGUGUAGUUUUCUGAGAUUAGAUUCAUGGAGGUUGGAGCUAUAUCUUCAGCAAUCAAGGUGUUGUCUUUGUGAAGAUUCAGCUGAUGUUUGCGUAGAACGGUUUUGACGCAAAUUGAAGGGCUAUUCUCAAUUGUACCGUCUCGUUUUAUGAUGGAACAGUUUGAACCGGUAUUUAUUCAAGUCGUUUGAUGAUCGAGAUCAGCCAUCUUAUGGUGUAUCUAAGGUUAUAUUAGUUUUUAUUUGAUGUCUAUAAUUAAUUGAAUGUCUCAAUUGCGUUAAAUUUUAUUUAUGCAUGCAUAUGUACGAGAGGAUAAAAGAUUUGAGCGAUGUGAGGGGUAUGAGGGGAAAAAUUGAGAUUUAUUGUUCAUGUUAGCAGGCCUUUGCCAUGUUGGGUGCGCUCGCAUGGCAGGUCAAAAGUACCUAAUAAAAAUAUGAUUUUUUGGUGUUUGGAGGGGAGAGGCACGGGGGUUUAUUUUUUACCCGGCUCUCCUCUCUCUGUGUGGGGUCUCUGUCCUUUUUAUUUUCCUGCUUUUUCAUUGUUCCUGCAUCCAAAAAACUGCAUCGAUACGGGGGUUACUUGUUAUGAAUUGGUCAAGGCAAUUAACCCACGUUAAUUUGCUUAACACGGCGAUGGACAAUGCAACGUAUCGUCUGCAGCACUCCACUAAAGGUACUAAUUUAAUUUAGUUGACAAAAUUUACUCAAUUUUCAUAAACAGCUACCAUAUAUGAAUUACUUGCUCUAAAUUUCAAUUAGGCACUAAUUGACCUUAACUGAUACAAAAUUCUUCUGACUAAAUUUAAUUUCAAUUAGGCACUAUUUAGACCUUAACUUUUCAGUUAUACCUUCACUGAUACAAAAUUCUUGUAACGAAAUUUUAUUAUUCUUUCUCAACUAUGAAUUGCUAAAAGGUACUUUACAUUUUUUUCUCAUCUCAAAUUUGAAUCAGACUAAUUGAUAAAAAUUUUAUGAUCGUCUCAACUAUGAAUUGCUAAAAGAUAUAUUUUUUCUUCAUCUCAAAGAGCCUACACCAUCCAAUGGAAGAUGCUCCAAACUAUUGGAAAAAUAAUUUGGCAUAUAUAUUUGCUGGAAAAUUAAGCCUCUUACGAGAUUUGUCAUGAAUUUUAACCUGUUUAUCCAGAAUAUUAAAAUUUGUGGUGAGACUAAUUGUGAAAAAAUUGUUUAAUUAAUCUAGUAAGUAGGGUAAUUGUGAGCUGUGGCUUUUGUAAAAUUGGUUCUAAUUCUAAGACUCUUCUCACAACUUCGGCUCUUUCCAGAACAUCGUCACUUAGCUUUAUAAUAUGAAUGAAUAGACGAUGCGGCUUCUGUUUUAUAUAUAUAUAUGUUUUCUAUUAGUUUGGACAUGCAGUUUCUCCUCUUGGGGUGUGUGUGUGUGUGUGUGUAUAUAUAUAUAAAUUCGCGUUGAUAUAUUUUGCAAUUAGUACAGUUCUUAGUUGUACAUGGGUAUGAUGUUUUAAUCGGACUUGUGGUAAGGAUGUUUAAGUGUGCUGAAGAGCCUUGCUCUCUAUUCAGUUAAAUGUAAUUCUUCCACCAAGUUGGAAUUGUUAUAGCCCCCUUAUUUUGUAGCCCUUUUGGGAGGGUACUUGUUUUAGUCAGGUUGGAUUUGGUCUAGAAAACCAUUCAAUGUACCAGCUAGAUCUGUCAUGUAGCUGAUGAUGAAGGGUUCUGCUUUACAAAACCUCGGAGGAGCAUUUUUGCAAAUGGUUAGUUUAAGUCCUUGCCGAUGUUGAAGCUUUUGUAGCUCUUCUGCUGCUGCUGCUGCUGCUGCUGCUGCUGGAGACUUGAUAGCGAUAUGGAUUUCAUUACCAUAUGCUUUGCUGCUGCUGUUGAGGUUGAAUAUCUGUAACCUCGUGGUUUGCUGCUGCUGGAGUUGAAGAUUUGAUAGCCUCAUGGUUAACUGCUGCUGCUAUGGACAUGGUUUAGCUUCUGUUGUUUGCUGCUGCUGUUGGAGUGGUUCUAUAAGGUUCCUGCUGUCAUUCAAGUUAAAGAUUUAGUAGGCUCAUGGUUUCCCUCUCAUCUGUUGUAAAUGAGGGUUGGAUAGCCUUAACAGGUGCUGCCUUGUUUGUGUGCGAAAUGGACGCGCACUCAUUUUUCACUGCUUUGAGUAUAUCUCCUCACACAGAGGAGAAUUGAUAGCCUCCUCAAUGUUAACCAACAUCUCUACAGUGAUUGGGUUAUACAUGCGAUUACUUUCCGAUGAUCCGUUACCGUCAUGUUGUUUGAGGAUUUUCCAGUAUUUCAUUGUGCGCCAGCUCCUUUUAAUGGAUGAGGUCUUGUAUUUGUUACUCUCAUCGAUAAAAAUUGCCGUGGAUAGUUGGAUCUCCUGACCGAGGCUUUGUUAUGGUUUAUGGUAUCCCCUCUUGGACUUGCUGUUUAUCAACUGAGUGGAUUGUACAUUACAAUUAAUAACAGUUUUACGAAGGCUGAUGGUGCGUUUAAUUUUCUACUGCAUCAGUUCCGCUCUCGGCCUUGUUUAUUGGACAGAUAUUUUCAGUUUUAUUUACUAGCCUAUGGAAAAUACAUUACACUGUUAAUUCCCCUGCCUGGUAAUAUUUUAAAUUGGUCGUGUACUUGCUACUCUCAAGUAGUAUUGGCAAGUGGUGAAAUUAUAUUGGGAUGCAUUCAUCUCAAAUGGCCGUGUGUACUUAAUACUAAUUAUUAAGUACUGCCAAGUGGGAAUGUUGUUGCAGUUGAGCGUUCAUAUCAAACAUUAGCGUUUGGAUGUUAUGGUUGUGUUGAUUAAUGUCGUACUGUAUUAAUUUACUUAUCUAGUGGUUAUUUUAGGUAAAUAAUUUUUUUGUGUCUUCGGUGUGAAGAUGUCAUGAUAGCUUUACUAAUAUUUUGAAACUUCCUUUACAAAUGAAUUCGUAUUUUUACCUGA
Capsicum annuum is the source of this 3576-nucleotide long non-coding RNA. RefSeq lists it as uncharacterized. The record is from RefSeq and is a predicted model, not a curated record. Lineage: Eukaryota; Viridiplantae; Streptophyta; Magnoliopsida; Solanales; Solanaceae. The transcript is spliced from 4 exons.